CCUACGGGUGGCAGCAGUGGGGAAUAUUGCACAAUGGGGGAAACCCUGAUGCAGCGACGCCGCGUGAGUGAAGAAGUAAUUCGUUAUGUAAAGCUCUAUCAGCAGGGAAGAAACAGACGGUACCUGAUUAAGAAGCCCCGGCUAACUACGUGCCAGCAGCCACGGUAAUACGUAGGGGGCAAGCGUUAUCCGGAUUUACUGGGGGUAACGGGAGCGUAGACGGCAGUGCAAGUCUGGAGUGAAAGGCGGGGGCGCAACCCCCGGACUGCUCUGGAAACUGUACGGCUGGAGUGCAGGAGAGGUAAGUGGAAUUCCUAGUGUAGCGGUGAAAUGCGUAGAUAUUAGGAGGAACACCAGUGGCGAAGGCGGCUUACUGGACUGUAACUGACGUUGAGGCUCGAAAGCGUGGGGAGCAAACAGGAUUAGAUACCCCUGUAGUC
This 440-nucleotide ribosomal RNA is filed under the name uncultured bacterium. RNAcentral describes it as "partial 16S ribosomal RNA". It matches the Rfam family "Bacterial small subunit ribosomal RNA", at positions 338 to 795 of the family's 1533-position model. The record is from RNAcentral.